AUUGAACGCUGGCGGCAGGCCUAACACAUACAAGUCGAGCGGAUGAAGGGAGCUUGCUCCUGGAUUCAGCGGCGGACGGGUGAGUAAUGCCUAGGAAUCUGCCUGGUAGUGGGGGAUAACGUCCGGAAACGGGCGCUAAUACCGCAUACGUCCUGAGGGAGAAAGUGGGGGAUCUUCGGACCUCACGCUAUCAGAUGAGCCUAGGUCGGAUUAGCUAGUUGGUGGGGUAAAGGCCUACCAAGGCGACGAUCCGUAACUGGUCUGAGAGGAUGAUCAGUCACACUGGAACUGAGACACGGUCCAGACUCCUACGGGAGGCAGCAGUGGGGAAUAUUGGACAAUGGGCGAAAGCCUGAUCCAGCCAUGCCGCGUGUGUGAAGAGGGUCUUCGGAUUGUAAAGCACUUUAAGUUGGGAGGAAGGGCAGUAAGUUAAUACCUUGCUGUUUUGACGUUACCAACAGAAUAAGCACCGGCUAACUUCGUG
RNAcentral lists this ribosomal RNA (484 nucleotides) under uncultured bacterium. RNAcentral's name for it is "partial 16S ribosomal RNA". It matches the Rfam family "Bacterial small subunit ribosomal RNA", at positions 30 to 507 of the family's 1533-position model. The record is from RNAcentral.